CGAGAGGGGAAUAACCCGGACGAAAGUCGGACUAAUACCGCAUAAAACAGGGGGCACCGCAUGGUGAUAUUGUUAAAGAAAUUCGCUGAUAGAUGGGCAUGCGUUCCAUUAGGUAGUUGGUGAGGUAACGGCUCACCAAGCCGACGAUGGAUAGGGGAACUGAGAGGUUGGUCCCCCACACUGGUACUGAGACACGGACCAGACUCCUACGGGAGGCAGCAGUGAGGAAUAUUGGUCAAUGGGCGGGAGCCUGAACCAGCCAAGUCGCGUGAAAAGGAAGAAGGAUCUAUGGUUACGUAAACUUCUUUUGCAGGGGAAAUAAAGUGCAGGACGUGUCCUGUUUUGUAUGUACCCUGAGAAUAAGGAUCGGCUAACUCCGUGCCAGCAGCGGC
Molecule: ribosomal RNA, 392 nt
Filed under: uncultured bacterium
Lineage: Bacteria
Description: bacterial SSU rRNA
Rfam family: Bacterial small subunit ribosomal RNA
Source: RNAcentral